This is a non-coding RNA of Salmo salar (Atlantic salmon), 58 nucleotides long. Lineage: Eukaryota; Metazoa; Chordata; Actinopteri; Salmoniformes; Salmonidae. The record is from Rfam.
UAGGUCAGUUGGUAGAGCAUGGUGUUUGCAACGCCAGGGUUGUGGGUUCGAUUCCCAC